This 507-nucleotide ribosomal RNA is filed under the name uncultured bacterium. Its description in RNAcentral is "partial 16S ribosomal RNA". It matches the Rfam family "Bacterial small subunit ribosomal RNA", at positions 28 to 507 of the family's 1533-position model. The record is from RNAcentral.
GACGAACGCUGGCGGCGUGCCUAAUACAUGCAAGUCGAACGCAUUUUCUUUCACCGUAGCUUGCUACACCGAAAGAAAAUGAGUGGCGAACGGGUGAGUAACACGUGGGUAACCUGCCCAUCAGCGGGGGAUAACACUUGGAAACAGGUGCUAAUACCGCAUAAUUCCAUUUACUGCAUGGUAGAUGGAUGAAAGGCGCUUUUGCGUCACUGAUGGAUGGACCCGCGGUGCAUUAGCUAGUUGGUGGGGUAACGGCCUACCAAGGCUGCGAUGCAUAGCCGACCUGAGAGGGUGAUCGGCCACACUGGGACUGAGACACGGCCCAGACUCCUACGGGAGGCAGCAGUAGGGAAUCUUCGGCAAUGGACGCAAGUCUGACCGAGCAACGCCGCGUGAGUGAAGAAGGUUGUCGGAUCGUAAAACUCUGUUGUUAGAAAAGAACAAGGAUGAGAGUGGAAAGUUCAUCCCUUGACGGUAUCUAACCAGAAAGCCCCGGCUAACUACGUG